CUACAACACUCAUGAGUGCUCAUAAGUUCUGAGUAUUGGAUUCAACCCGCGCUCAUUGGAAUCACUUCAUGGAUUUUAUCACGAGUGAUCAUGAGACGAUAAUAUCUUAUAUUCUUCAAACCUAGAGAUAUGAGUUGUUACUAUGAGUUGGUUGUACAUUGAUUGCACGAAAACGCAUUUGGUAACUCGGUGCUAUAAAACGUGCCUUUGUGUAUGAUUCAACAAGUAGUAGAACAAGCCAUAUGAGUCGAAGUUUAUCCAUUCCUUUUACCUUCGGGAUAAAAGCGAUAUCUGUGGGCCCCUCGAUGAUUUGAUGAUGACAAAUGGAAGUGCUCGGCCGGGCCAGGACUGAUUUGAUUUGUUCAAUUAGUCAGUCGUCAUAAAUCGGAAAUCGGGAAACAACAAAUGGACAGAGAGAAUGAUUAUAAUCCAUGUCUCAGUCCAUAUGAUAUCUAGAAUGGAGGAAUAUAUGAUCCCUUAUCUAAUGGACAAGUUCGUUGACAAGAUCAGAGUUCGACAGCAGCUUUAAGAGCUACGAUUGCCAGUUGGGUUUGAAGUCAUACUCAAUAAUAGUUUUAGACUUAUCCAAGUGGGAGACUGUUGGAUUAAUGUCUAAGUCCAUAACUAUAUUUGGUAUGUACUUGACCCGACCCAGCAUGGUCCAUUUGGGUUGCACUUCACCAGCACAAUUUAUAUGGAUAGUAUUUUAUGAAUAGUAUAUUUAUGAUUUAUAUUAAUAUAUUAUAAGUGCUAAUAUAUUAAUAUAAUCAUAAUAUUUAAUUAGUAUUGAUCAAGAAUUAAUUUAUAAUUAAUUAAGUGAUCAAAAUGAACUAAUUAAAUAUGAACUCUUAGAUAUAUAUGUGUAGUGGGCCAAGUUCAUUUAGGUUGGGCUAAGUCUUCAUGGAUAGUCCAUGGAGCUUUAACCCAUGGAUCCUAGGAAAUGAAAGGUCAUGGGUAUUAGGGUUUAACCCUAAUCCUCCACACUAUAUAAAGAUGUCCUUGGUUGUUGAAAUGGGUACUAGUGUGGGUACACUAAGAGGGCGAGCCAAUUUCACUAGAGAGAACCAAGUAUCCAUAUUCUCUAAAGUCUUCCAAGGUGUUUUGGUGAUUUGUGAUUCCAUUUCAGGCUUCCACACUAUUGGGGCUAAGCUCUUAAAGCUUGAAGACAUCAAGCUACAUCAAAAGGUAUGUCAUCUAACUAGAACUUUGUAGUAUAAGAACUUCAUAAUAUGCUAGUUAGGAUUAAAGCCUUGGAAAGUUCUUAUUUGCAUGUAUAAUUGAGAAAACAUAGAUCCAAGGUUUAUAGGGUUGCAUGUAUAGGAGUGUUAGAAUGCUCAAAACCCAACACCAGUAUCAGCAGCUCGAGUGUGUGAGCUCUUUGUAUGCAUAUUUAGGUGAGUCUUCUAAGUAUACUAUGGAUGUUGCUAGAUUGUGUUUGUGACUCUUGCAUGAAAGAUAGUGUUUGGAUCGGAACACUUAUAUGAAGGACUAUGGUUGGAUUACAACACCUAUGUGGAAGACUAUCAAAGACUGUGGUUGGAUCCUAGCACUUGUAUGAAAGAAUCUAGUUGGAUCACAACACUUGUUUAUCUUUGUGACGUGCAAGGAUAACCAUUUUUGGAUAAUGACAAAAAGGUUAUGGUUGGGCUGUAAUCUGGAAGUGAUUGUAAGACUAUGGUUGGAUCAUAGAAUUCAUGAAGAGUUGGAACACACCCCUAGGGUUGGGCCCACUGAUAUGUAUGGUAUGUGGUAUUUUGGGAAACUCACUAAGCUUUGUGCUUAUGGUUUUGUGGUUUCAACAUUUUCGAGUACUUCCGGUUCCAAAGGGUAGGCUCUAACUUGACUGCACAGAAACCCCCAAUGAAUUUUCCUUAUUUUUACUACUAUUCCACUAUGAAUUUUCAUAUACACUUUAUCAUCAUUGAUUUUGGAACAAAUACUAUAUGAAUUUGAUGUUUUGGAAAAUGAAAUAUUUUAUUGGUAAUUUUGGGAUCUUACAAUUUGCUAUCAUAGCCUUGGCUUGAGUGAUUCGAGCAUACUCUUGGGUGUGUCUGAACUCAAAUUGAGAAAUUGGUAAUAUUUUUGAAAAAAAAUCAGUUUUCCUAGAAUGAUUUUUGCAAAGAAAGGGGUGAGAUGCGUGCAAUCAGGCGAGCUUAAGUAAGUGUUUCCCAAAAUACUCAUACAUGAGUAUUAUGUGUUUUGCAUGCUAGGAUUGGGCCCGUACUACUAGAAGCAUAGUAUCCGUACUCGAACCAAGGAGAAUCGCAAAGAUUCUAGAGACCUUAUAAUGUGAAAGUUCCCUCGAGUAUAGUCUGAUUGUUUAUUCUUAUAAUAUAUUAAUAAACCAUAAUAUCCUCUUUCUCUAUUAUUCAUCCAGUCAAGUUACUUUGGUGAAGGCAACCCAAAAGGACCAUGCUACAACUGGGUCAAAUACAUACCAAAUAUAGUUAUGGACUUAGACACUAAUCCAACAGUCUCCAACUUGUAUAAGUCUAAUAACUAUAAAUGCAAGUACGAAUUCAGGAUCCGAUUAGCAAUCGUAGCUCUCGAAAGCCGUUGUCGAACUCUGAUCUUAUCAGUAAACUGUCAUUUAGAUAAGGGAUCGUAUAGCCCUCUGUUCUAGAUAUCGUGCAUACAAUUACAUGGAACAUAGUCAUACUCUAUGUCCAGCAGUUCGUUUCUCAAUCUUUGAUUUAUUUGACAUAGAACUUAAUUGAACACAUCAAUUCAGUCCUGACCAGGCCUGGCACAUAACUCAAACCAAAUCAUCGAGGGGCCCAAAUAUCGCUUUUACCCUAUUAGGAUAAAAGGAACACAUAAACUUCGACUUAUAUGCAUUUACUAUUUACUCAUCAAGUCAUGCACAACAAUGCGUUUUAUAACAUCAAGUUACUGAUGCGUUUACGAAUUAUUAAUGCACAACCAAGUUGAAAACAAUAAACCAUAUAUCUAGGUUUAAAGACUUUAUGAUAUCAUCAUCUUUCGAUCACUCAUGAUAAAUUCCAUGAAGUGAUGCCAGCAAGCAUGGGUUUGAUCCACUGCUCAAAUCUUAUUUCAUAAGCACUCAUGAACGUUGCAGCAAACCUUUGAUAUGUCUAAUACACUUUAGACAGUCUCCAAACCAAUUCAUGACAGUCUUCUUUCAUACCUACUUCCAAAGUAUAAGCGAUUGUGGAUUGUUCGAAUAAUCAUAUUAUUCAGGAAGUCAAAACAUGCAAAGUGAAACAAUAGGUAAAUAAUUAACACAAGACGGUAACUUUACUGAUAAAUAAUACUCCUUUAUUUAAUCAUCAAAUGUUAAUUACAAUUUAUCUAUUACACGUUUCGAAGCUAUCCAAUCUAAGCUAAUAUCGUCCUUCAGCCCAAUGCUACUAGUGUGCUGCAAGUGCUUAACCCUACUCAGUCCCUUCGUAAGGGGAUCUACUAGGUUAUCCUCUGACGAUACCCUCUUUACUACGAGGAGCCCUUCUUCCACCCAAAGUCUAAUAAAGUGAUAUUUCCUAUCGAUAUGUCGGGAUCUGCUAUGAUCCCUCAGUUCCUUGGUCAAGGAAACUGCACCUUCGUCAUCACAGAAAAUUUCCAUAGGCUCCUUUACGGCUGGAACAACUCCAAGGUCUCCGAUGAAGUUCUUCAACCAUAUUGCCUCCUUUGACGCUUUGCUCACUGUUAUGUACUCUGAUUCACAUGUUGAAUCAGCUACGAUCUCCUGCUUGGAACUUUUCCAAGUCACUACUCCUCCAUUUAGGGUAAAGACCCAGCCUGACUGAGAUCGAUAAUUAUCUUGGUCUGUCUGAAAAUUGGCGUCACUAUACCCUCCCACCCUUAAGUCAUCACUCCCACCGAGGACUAGAAACCAUUCCUUGGUCCUCCGAAGGUACUUAAGAAUGUUCUUAACUGCUGUCAAAUGCACUCUACCAGGGUUCCCUUGAUAUCUGCUGACCAUGCUCAAAGCGAAGGCCACAUCAUGGCGAGUACAAGUAAUAGCAUACAUUAUUGAGCCAACUGCAUAAGCGUAAGGUACUCGACUCAUUUUUUCUAUCUCGGCCUCAGUACUCGGACUUUGAGUCUUACUUAACUGGGUAUUGCUUUGGAUCGAUAACUCCUCUUUCUUGGAAUUUUCCAUACCAAAACGCUUUAGUACCUUAUCCAAGUAAGUAUUUUGACUAAUUCCGAUUAGUCUUUUACUUCUGUUUCUCACUAUCCUUAUUACCAGAAUAUAGGCAACCUCUCUGAGGUCCUUCAUAGCGAAGCACUUCCUAAGCCAAGACUUAACCUCCUAUAGGGUCGGGAUGUCAUUUCCUAUGAGUAGUAUGUCAUUGACAUAUAAUACAAGGAAGCUAACAAUACCCCCACUGGUAGAAUACUGCCCCUGUGGCGAAAUUCAAAAGUUAGAGCAGGAACUCUGGGGUCUGACGAUGAAUGACUCCGAUAUUGUUGCAUAUACUACUAGGUUCAGUGAUCUGGCUAUUCUGUGUCGAGGGAUCGUUCCCACUGAGAGAAAGAAAGUAGAGAGAUUUAUCUGGGGACUCUCUCCUCAGAUACAAGGGAAUGUAAUAGAUGCAAAGCCUCUCAUUUUUUAUAGUGCCAAGAAUUUGGCACAAACAUUAGUUAACCAUGGAGUUCGUCAGGGCUUCAUGGUACCCAUACCGGAGCAGCCCAAGGAAGGGGGCAGCAAGAAGAAAUUAUGGAAUAAGUGAAAGGGGGAAUCGUCUCAAGAGCCCUCAAAAAAGCAACAAACAGUGGCAGUAAACACUGCUAUUGUUCCUACUGCUGUUACAACCCCUGUUCUUACCACUGUGUCUACUACUCUAGCAACCCCAAGUAGAUAUGCUGGAACAUUGCCAAAGUGCAAUAAGUGAAACUUCCAUCAUACGGGAGAUUGCAAAGAAAUGAACUGCAAGAAUUUUAAUAGAAAAUGGCACAUUAUCCAUUUCUUUAAAGCACCGGCAUAGCCCAUUUCUCAAGUUCCUGCCGCGGGAGUUAGCCAAGCUUGCUAUAAAUGUGGGGAAGUAGGAAAUUUCAAGAGAAACUGUCCUAAGUCAAAGAAUGUUGGUGAUACAUGAAGAGUCUUGGCGAUUGGCUAUGAAGAAGCAGUAGCAGAUCCUAAUGUGGUGACUGGUACGUUUCUUCUCAACAAUUCUUAUGCAUGCAUUCUUUUCGAUACGGGUGCGAAGAAAAGUUUUGUAAGCCAUAAAUUCAAAUAUCUACUAAAACAAAAUCCCAAAGCACUAAAACAUACAUUCACCAUUGAGAUGGAUAAUGGAAAAACCGAGAAUACCAAUGGCAUAUACAUAGCAUGCACACUUACUCUAAAUAACCAUUCAUUCCAAAUUGACGUUAUGCCGGUCUCAAUUAAAAUUUUUGACAUCAUUAUCGGCAUGGAUUGGUUAAGUCUUCACCGUGUUCAUAUCGUAUGUUACGAGAAAGUCAUCUGUCUUCAUCUUCCAAGUAACGAAUCUCUCGUUAUCUAUGGCGACAAAUCUGGUGCAAAUCUCCAAAUCAUUUCUUGCGUCAAGGCUUAGAAGUAUCUUCGCAAAGAUUACUGCGCCUUCUUAGCUCGCGUUGUUGAUAAUACACAAGAAGUGAAAAGUAUCAAGGAUAUCCCUGAAGUCUGUGAUUUCCAUGAUGUGUUCCCUGAAGAGAUCUCAGGAGUUCCUCAUGAACAUCAAGUCGAAUUCUGAAUUGACUUGAUUCCUUGAGCUACCCCUGUAGCUAAAUCCUCAUAUCGUCUUGCACCUUCAGAAAUGCAGGAACUAUCCAGCCAGUUGAACGAACUUCUCAGUAAAGGCUUCAUUAGACCAAGCUUCUCACCUUGGGGAGCACCGAUCUUGUUCGUGAAAAAGAAUGAUGGAUCAUUUCGCAUGUCCAUAGACUACCGGGAAUUAAACAAACUUACCAUUAAAAACCGAUACCGUUUACCACAGAUAGAUGACCUAUUCGAUCAACUCCAAGGAGCUAGUUUCUUCUCCAAGAUUGACCUGAGAUCCAGAUACCAUCAGCUACAAUUCCAGGAGGCCGACAUUCCCAAGACUGCUUUCAGUACUCGCUAUAGUCACUACGAAUUCGUAGUGAUACCCUUUGGUCUAACAAAUGCACCUACAGUAUUCAUGGACAUGAUGAAUCGAGUGUGUUAACCUUACUUAGACAAGUUCGUUAUAGUCUUCAUUGACGAUAUACGAGUCUAUUCUCAGAGUAAGGAAGAACACAACCGACACUUGUGACAAGUCUUGGAAACCUUAAGGGCAGAGAAAUUAUACGCGAAGUUCUCAAAAUGUGAAUUCUGGAUUCAAAAGGUGGAGUUCGUAGGUCAUGUAGUCAGCAAGGAUGGGAUACAUGUUGACCCCUCCAAGAUCAAGGCUAUCGAAAGUUAGAUGACCCCAUGAACCCCCUCAUAAAUUCGCCAGUUUCUAGGUCUCGCUGGCUACUAUAGGAGUAUCAUUCAGAAUUUUUCAAAGAUUGCAAAUCCACUCACCACCUUGACCCAAAAAGGUGUGAGAUUCGAAUGGGAGGAUAAACAAGAAGCUGCUUUCCAGACACUAAAGCAAGCCCUUUGCAGCGUACCCAUCCUGUCCCUCCCAGAAGAGACGAAAGAUUUUGUAGUUUACUGCGAUGCGUCCAAGCAAGGGCUAGGCUGCAUUCUUAUGCAACGAGGAAAGGUUAUAUUCUAUGCCUUGAGACAACUUAAGAACCAUGAAGUGAAUUAUACUACACACGAUAUCGAACUAGGAGCAGUGGUUUUUGCCUUGAAGAUCUGGAGGCAUUACCUAUACGGUACAAAAUGCACAGUCUUUACUGAUUAUAAAAGCCUUCAGCACAUCUUUGAUCAGAAAGAAAUCAACAUGAGACAACGACAAUGGGUAGAUCUACUAAAUGAUUACAAAUGUGAGAUUUGUUAUCACCCCGACAAGGCCAAUGUGGUAGCAGAUGCCCUUAGUCGGAAAGAAUACUCGGGUUGCCGAGUAAAGUCUCUGACCGUGACUAUCCAUUCCCACUUAUCUACACAGAUCAAGGAUUCUCAGCUGGAAGCCUUGAAACCUGAGAACAUGACAAGUGAAGAUUUAAAGGGAAUGGAAAAGAACUUGGAAAUCAAGGGUGACGGAGUUCGUUAUUUCAUGAAUCGAAUAUGGAAACUAAAGUUCGGUGGCUACAGAGAUGUUGUCAUGAAUGAAGCUCAUAAAACUCGACACUCUGUCCACUCGAGUUCCGACAAGAUGUAUCUAGACCUAAGGAAACUCUAUUGGUGGCCAAACAUGAAAGCCGAGAUAGCUACUUUUGUGGGCAAGUGUCUAACUUGCUCCAAAUCAAAGUAGAAUAACAAAAGCUCUCAGGUUUACUUUAACAACCAGAAAUACUUGAGUGGAAGUAAGAGCGGAUCACAAUGGAUUUCAUAACCAAGUUACCCAGGACAACGAGUGGUUAUGAAACCAUUUGGGUUAUUGUCGAUAGAUUAACCAAAUCCACACACUUCCUACUGAUAAAAAAACAGAUAAAAUGGAGAAGUUAACAAGGACAUAUAUUAAAGAGAUAGUAUGAUUCAAUGGUAUUCCAAUAUCUAUUAUCCCUGACCGAGAUAAUGGAUUUACCUCAUGGUUUUGGAAAUCAUUGCAAAAGUCCUUGGGAACAAAUCUUGACAUGAGUACAGCGUACCAUCCUCAGACUGAUAUGCAAAGCGAGAGAACAAUUCAAAUGUUGGAAGACAUGUUAAGGGCUUGUGUGAUAGAUAUCGGUAAAGCUUAGGAUACCCAUUUACCACUUGUUGAAUUCUCCUACAACAAAAACUAUCAUACUAGCAUCAAAGUUGCACCCUUUGAAGCUCUCUGUGGCCGUAAGUGCAGAUCCCUUCUGUGUUGGGCUGAAGUGGGUGAUACGGAACUAGCCAAGAACCAAGUACCUAAUAGUACUCUAACCGGUCCCGAGAUCACUCGUGAAACCUGUCACAACUAGGAAUUUUGGUGUCUUGUAACUACCACACCUAUAACAACUAUGAAUCAAUAACAUGAAAGCAUCCAUGAUGCUUAUUCUAUAACAACAAAACUUCAGCAAAUACUUCAUUCUAGCACUACAAAUGGUCAACAAAGAAUUGGAAACCUUUGAAAUCCCGGUUUAAGUCCAUUUCGGACUAGGAUUUCCUUAUUGGGCCUAAUGGACUAAUAAGCUUCCAAUUUAUUCAUCUUGAACCUAGAACUCUCUAAUGGGCCCUAAUUGGACCCAUAUACAUUAAACAUAAUAUUUUGGGCCUUAAUGGGUCACAACCAAUUUAAUUUAGCCCUAAUAGGUCAUAAAAAUUAUACUUUGAUUUAUUUGGGCCAAACAUCAUCUAACUUAACUAUAAUAUGGGCUUAAGGGCAAAAAGCCCAAAUCUUUUCUCUUCCCCUCUCCAUUCUUGGCCCAAACCCACAAGAGAAAGAGGAGUUGACUUUCUCAUUGCCACCUCACUAAUAAUUGGUGGGUUUCCAUGCAAAUCCCAUGCUUCCAAGCAAACAUCUCAUCAACUUUCUCUUUUCCUCCCUCCCUUCUUCUCUCGGCCGAACACAACACACACACACUCAUAAAAUUCAUCUCCAUUCUCUCAAACUCUCACUAGAACAUCCUUACACUCUCCCUCAAAAAUUUCGAGAAUCACAAGGGCUACAAGGAAAUCUCUUCUUAAUAUCACAAAUCUAAGGUAAGUUGAUGUUUAAUCCAUGAUCUAACUACUUCGUUUCAUCAAAAAUCUCUUCUAAAUCCAUGCAAUCUUGUGUUCUUCCAUCUUAGAAGCCUCUAAAUUCGAGAUCAUCCAAGAAAGCGUACUAGGAUCGAAAUUUUCUUCACUCCUCUCUUCAAAACCGAAACCACAACUCAAGGUGAGCUUCAUACCCCUCACUUUUCAGUUUUCUUGUGUUUUAUGGGGGAGAAUACAAGAAAAUGUGUAGAUCUAUGUGUAUAUGUAUGCUAUGUGUGAUUUUAUGCAUGUAUGUGUAUAUUUAUGUGUUUUUGUGAUAAUUAUGUAACUAAAAAGGGGUAAAUCUCGAGAUCUAUUAUAUGAGGAGAGAAAAAAAUAUAAUCUAAGUUAUUAUACGCUAAUCAAGUCAUGAAUAAUAAAUUAUAAGGUUAUGAUAACAUAUUUCAACAUAAAAACCCACUUUUGGGCUUAAAAUGUCAAGUAUACAAAACUAGGGUUAAAAAUGGCCAAGUCACGGUUUCUUAAGGGCCAAAAGAGUCAAAAUAGUUUUCAUAAUUGUUUUUCUAAAUAAUAAAUUUUCAAAGGACUUAAAAUGUAAUUUUUUAGCUUAAUGGGCUAAUUUUGGGCUUUUUGGCCCAAUAAGCCUCGAAUUGCAAAAAAUGACAAAUUUAAGGGGCUGAAAUGAAACUUUCUGUAAAACAGGGGAUAAUUAGCAUAACAAAAUUAUUUUAAGGGUCAAAAAUGCUUUUCACUAUCAAAAAGGACCAAAAAUGUAAAGUUUUUAGAUUUUGGGCCAAAACUGUAAAAGUUGUGAAAAUGGGGUUCUAACCGAGAAACACCACUCUGGGAGGGCUGAAGCUGUUAUAAAAAUUAAUUUUGGGUUAAAACUGUCUUUUCAACAAGUUUAUGAUAGAAAAUGUUUUAAGGACUAAAAAUGAAAUUCUUUUUUAUAAAGGACUAAAAGUGUUAUUUUUAGUGACAAGGUCAAAUUCUACUUUUAAACAAAUUAAUUCAUUAAGACAAAAUACAAGAUCCACGACUACCAACAAAACGAAAAACGAAUACACAUUCAACACCAAAUAUCGUUAUAAACGAAUUGAUUCGGUCUCGAAUCAAUACAAAACAACAAUCGUUAAAUCAAAACACUUCAAUAGAUACGCGAUAACUACAAUGAGUAAAUCUUCAAACUUUGGGCUUAUGAGUUUCAAAUCAUGGUCGUUGGGCCUUGCAUGCCCAUCGACAUGAUCUUUGGGCCUAAAGGGAUAACGCUUAUAUGUUAUUAGGCCUUCCAUGACCCAAUAUUUUAUAAAAGGACUUUCAAUAGCUUUUAUGUGCUAUUGGGCCCUAGAGGCCCAUUAGAAAAGCUAGUAAGGUCACAGUAAUCAAAUGCGUGUUAGACCCUCGUGUCUUUCGCAUCCAUAAUAGCCUAAGGUACUUAUGACAGUAGUGGGACAUAAUGCUCCUCUUCUCUUCGUUCGCUAAGGCUUACGAGAAAUCAAAGUAGACGAAAUUAGGACGAUAUACAAUGUGGAGUAAUCAAUAUUCAUUCGUUAAGACAAUACAAAAAUCAGUAAUCACGAAUACAUUUCAACAUAGGAAAACAUCGGGUUUUCCGGGGAAUUCAAUACUACAACUGGAAAUUUUAUAACUAUAAUACAAAAUACCCUUCAUAUAUAUGUUUUUGAAAUCAUUCGUGCAUUAACUUAUGGAUCUUCACACUUUGAUAAACAAAAGUCUUUUUAGAAAAUAUCGGAUUUUCUGGGUUUUACAAACUACACAAAUCAUUUUAUCACAACAUUGCUUAAGAACUCACCAACAUUUCAUAUGUUGAUGUUUUUCCAAAAUGACUUGUAUUCUCAGGUAAUAGGUAAGCGGAAGAGUAAUAUGAAGUAAUGUUAGGAUGUUAUGUUGUUAAAAUCACUCAAACAGUUUAUGUUAUGAAUAUGUAAUGUUAAAACAUUGUACUUGAUGUGAACAAUUCCAGUUGUAAUAUAUUGAUGCAUGGUGACGUUUAUGUUAUGAUUCAUGUAUAUUCAUUGUGAUGAUAUUCAAUUAAAGUCACGCGAGCCCUCAGACGUUUCCACCGUCUGGUUUGGGGGUGUGACAAAACCACAGAAAAGAUUUUCUAAAUCCGGGAACGAUUGAAAGCUUCUAGAGAUAGACAGAAGAGUUAUGCGGAUAAAUGACAAAAAACCCUUGGAAUUCUAGGUUGGUGACCACGUCUUGUUAAAGGUCUCCCUCCGGAAAGGAAUGAUGCGUUUCGGCAAACAGGGAAAACUAAAUCCAAGGUACAUCGGACCAUUCAAGAUUCUUGAUAGAGUUGGCCCAGUUGCUUAUAAACUCAAACUACCGCAUGAACUUACUAACAUUCAUCCUACUUUUCACAUCUCUAAUCUCAAGAAGUGUCUGUCUGAUGAGACUCUUGUAAUUCCACUCGACUAAAUCAAGUUAAACGAGAGUCUGAACUUCGUGGAAGAACUAGUAAGGAUCAUGGAUAAGUAACUCAAGCGAACAAAAUAAAGCCGUACCCCGAUAGUGAAGGUUCGCAUGAAUGAAAAAUGUGGACCUGAAUUCACUUGGGAACGGGGGGAUCACAUGAAACAAAAGUAUCCGCAUCUAUUUGCCUAGUCUGAUUGUAUCUCUAUAGUCUUAAUUUCGGGACGAAAUUCCCUUUAACAGGGGGAUAAUCUAACAACCCAUUCUUUUGAGUCAACAAAAGUCAAUGAAAUACACACUAGUUCAAUCAAAGCUUGCAUUAGAUCAAACAAGAGUUACAUCCAUUCAUAUCUAAGUUUAAUACUUAGCUUAAUUCAUAUUAUAUCUUAGUAUAAUUGUGAUUAUGCCAAGGAAUUUUACAUGAAAGUUAUACCCUUGAAAUCAUGUAAAAGUUUAAAACAAGUCAAAUGUGAACUAGUGCAAGUUAAGGGGGUUAAACUUAACAAUUAAAGGAAAUUAUGAAAUAUAUAUANUAUAUAUAUAUAUUGAAAUUGGUUUUUAGAAUCAAAUAUCAUCCAAAAACCGAAAUCCCUUAAUGAAUACAGUGCCAAAACCGAAUUCCUUAAUGAAUGAAAGCAAAGCCGAAUUCUCAUUUCCCUUUUACUUUUGGAGCGAAUUCCCCAUCUUAUAUUGACCAAGAAACGGAAUUCCUACCAUUUAUUCUCAUUUUAAGACCGAACACAAGGUGAAUUAGGUCAUAUAGGACCGAAUUCUCCAUGAUAUGUUCAUAAUUUGGCCGAAAACUCCUAUAGUGAUCUCUUAGACACACUUUCCAAAGCUUACACCGCCUUACCUUUUCCUUCAUAAUUAAGUCAUUCAACCCUUCAUUCCAUACAAUCAGUGACCACAAAACUUUCUCAUAUGCUCUCAAGUAUCAAACAGUAAGUCUUCAAACAUUCAAGAACACUUCGUACAUCUACAUACAUAUUUCCUUCACUAUUUAGUAAGUAUUUUUCUUAUAAACUAUUGAUUUGUUAUAAUAGUUUACUUAAUAUUUGAUUAUUAAUCGAUAUUACGUAUAUAAUAUUAUUAGGAUACGUUUCUUAAACACGUGUUCUAACCCGAAAAUCGUCAUUACCACCUCAUUAUCACCCAAGAACACACAUACAAGGUGAGUUCCUACCCCAAUAUUUUCAUGAUUUUUAACUGUUUUAUGGGGGAAUACAAGUGAAAAAUAAUAUAAAAUUGUGUAAAUAUCUAAGAUGAUUUUAAAUAUUUUUAAAUUGUUGCCAUUAUCAAAAUUAUAUAUUUAUAUAUGUGUAAAUUAUAUAAUUUGGAUUCAGAAGAUUUAGAAUAUGUAAUUUGACCCCAUUUACUGUUCCUUGUUUGAUUGUGGGCUUGGGGUAAAGUUAUUUAUUUGAAUGUCUAAUUAAUUACAAUUAUAUAAAUAUUAUAUUUAUAUAAAUAUAAAAUGGUUUUGAAAUUGUUUUGUACUAUUUGAGUACAAACGCUGGAUUUAGUGGAACAACAGUAUUACAAAUUCGUACAAAAAUUAUCCAAGGUUUCCAUUACAGUAAAACAAACAUAUAAACUAUAAUAAGUAUAGUUUAUGGACUUUAUUCAUUGAUUUCAAGGUUCAUAUUACAAAAUGGAAUACAAACAGAGCACAUUACAUAAAACAAACAGAGUACAUUACUGAAAGAAACAUAUAAACUAUAUUAAAUAUAGUUUAUGUAACUUGCAGUAUAUUUAUUUCAAAGUAACUUUUCAUUAUUUCACACGUAAUCAUCAAUAUAGCAUUUGUGAGACAAUCUUCAUGGACUUUACUAAGCACCAACCAAGCCCUAAAAUUAUAACCAAAAUCUCCUGUAAGGAGAGCGUGACACUUGUGUAUAGAUUAUACGGGACAGACAAUCCCGCACCAGAAUUGCUUGCAACAGCUAGGUCGGCAAACCUGUGGUGACAAAUGUCAUCACAUUUGCGACGCCUGAAGAAUGUCGUGUUCAGGCCAUCUUAGGUCGUCAAGCAUGGUUAUAAUAACUCGCAAUUUGUUAUUGAAAAAAAUGAUCAGUGUAUGAAUAAGUAAACAAAUUCACAUGGUUUUAUUAAAAUGAAACUAUAAUACAACAUUUUACAAGUAUAAGUACAUAAUACUAUUUCAGUAUAGAAAAAAACAUACUUGUCAUGGUUUCAAGUGAAAUAAAUUACAACUUACCACCUUAGAGUACAGUAACUUUCACACGUUUUGCUUACAUUAUACUACAAUAGAAAAUAUAUAAUUUUCUGGGAAAACAUGAUUACUUUAUCACAGAACAAGAAAACAGAUUUCAGUUAUAAACAUACUUAUGAACUCACCAACUUAAUUGUUGACACCUUUUCAAAACUACAUGUAUUCUCAGGGAAUCAGUAGACAAGUACACUCACGGCUUUUGAGAAGACGGAACUUUAUAAACUCAUGUCUUUUAAACUUGUAUUUUUGGUGUCAAAUAUACUAUGUUUUGAAAACAUUUGUAAACUUAUAACUUUAUAAAGACAAUCGUUGUUGUCCUUUGAUUACUAUUAUGCAUUGUUGUGAUACUGUACAUGACGUCCUCCGCCCCCGAACGUUUCCGCCGUUCCGGUUUGGGGGUGUGACAGUUUAACAGUCUAAGCCUGUAAAAUAUAUUACUUAAAAAAUAAUGUCAAAAUUCACCGAUGGAGUCUAAACAAAAGUUGCAGAUCUUGUUGAUAGCUAUGUGUGGAUAUAAAAUGCAUCAAUAAUGGAGCUUGUAUGAAGGAAAUACGAAUUUCUGAAGUACUAUAAAUAACUCACACACAGGUACACGUUUCGAAAAGGUGUGCGACGCGCCUCUAACAUACCACAAGAUCACAAUAAGUGGCACCACCCACACGACGUCACUUCAGCACUCCCGACCAAGUGCGUAGUGUGCACCAGACCAGGUGUGUGGUGCACAUUCCGUAUUAUCCCAUCAAAUGUUGUGAAUUCUCCUCAUUUCUUCACACCUUUCUUCCUUAUUCUCUCUGAAACACUUUCCACCUAAUUCCCUUUUACUCUCUACAUUCUGACCACUUCGGCGAAGCCCUGCUGCGUCAGAUAGCUGAUGAUUAGAAACUCCCGAAUCAGAGUUAUGCUUGCAUUUUUCCCGGUUUUCGCUAAAAGCUAUAUAGUUAAGCUACACUUAUUUUAUACACGUGUAACUUUUUAUAAUAGUCAUAGUUAUUAUUAUGAGCUUAUAAUUAAGAUUUAUCAGUAAUUCUAAGUCAUAAUAUUAAUUGAUCUAGUUACGAGGAUGACGUCUAGGCUGGGUUUAGCGAGGUGUUUAAAGUGAGAUUUCCAGACAACAUACUAUGUACACCAAAUGGAUCCUAUAUAAAUUAUUAUACUUACACACAAAUACAAGUAUUCUAAUUGCUUAAACGUUAUGUGUACUGUUUAAUUGUGUUUAACAUAUACGCGUAACAUGAUAUAGCUAUUUCUUGAUUAAACCAUAUAUAAAUUAUUAUAUUUAAAAUAUGAUUAGGUAGUGAAGGGAUGCAUGAAAUAACUAAUACGAGGAUGUGAUAUGUUAGUAAAAGGUUGAGUAAAAUAAUAAAUGGGAGGGUGAGGUAAGGACUUUGCGAAAUAACGAGUUGUGACCCGCUGUGCUAUAACUAAAGUAUUAUUGUAUUUUGUGUCUAGUCACCUAAGAAUAUAUUAGUUAGUAAAAUGUUGUGUGAAAUAAUGAGUUGUGACCAGCUGUGCUAUGAGCAAUGUACUAUCGUACUAUUGUGUUAUGCCUAAAGUACUAUUGUAUCGUUGUGCCUAGAUGGUUAAGGAAAGAUAGAUCCCUUAGGAAAGAUCCCUCGAGAUCAUUAUUUAAAGAUUAGGAAGUGAUGAUAAUAGGAAUGUGUAGCUAGGUUGUUUGUUUACUAAAAGAUGUAUAAUCAAUGAUUAUAAUAUUGUGGGUUGAAAACCCUAUGUAUUCACCAAGUUGUUGGGAUUUCUAUGCAUUAAAUACACUCUAAACUAGGUAGUGAAAAAUCGAAACUACGAUAUACAUAAGUGUACAUGUACCCUAGGAUCUAAGGUUUCAUACUAAUUACAUCUACCUAAUGAAAAUGCAAAUACAAAGAAGAUUCACAUACCUAUUUUGUAGCCAAAGACCUUCUUGCUUGAGUUCUCGUGCAUGGCACCUUGUUUGGAUGUAAAGGACCCAAAACAAAAUCCCUGAAUUGGCUCACACCCAUUGGACUCAAAAGAGUAGAAAAAUAACUAGGAGGGGAUGAAUUGUAAUGAGAGUUCGUCAACUAAGAUGGAGAAAGAAGUGGGAAAAUUCAAGCCAAGAAUGAGAAUGGAAGAAUGUGUCCCUAAGGCCCUAUUUAUAGCCUUGGAUACCUUCCAAGUUUUUAUCAUCAAGCCCAUGUGGGAUGGAUAACCCUUAUGAACGAAAUUCACCUAUUCUUAAGGGAAUUUUUGUCCACCACCCUUUUUUCUAGGGUUCUUGAAUAUUCUUGAUUAAUCAACUAAUGAUUAAUUGAUAUUCAACCCUUCUAUUAAUUAAACUGUUUAAUUAUUUCCCAUUUUUUUCCAAUAAGUUUGUAAUUAGUUAUUAAACCAUAAUAAUUAAUAAACUAAUUACCCCUUCAUUUAUUCUACUUGAUUUGACUCUUGAGGGCAACUCAAGAGGAACGUGCUAUUAUUAGAAAUAUCACCAAUAGUUAAUGAUAUUGGACAUACAUUCCAACACAAGUUUCCCAACCUAAAUCACUCAGCUUCUUUGUAUCACAUGUAGCGGUACAAAGGUAUACGAAUGAUGAGAUAUUUAAGGAGAUGUAGACUAAUAGUCUAAUAUACUAUAAGGCAUGUUUAUGCUUGUGUUUUGUAUUAUUGAUGACAUCCAAAGCUUUUAUAAAUUAAUGAAAAAUAUUUCUCCGAAAGUACUUUUACGGGUCCAAAUUCUACAUUUAUAAAUAAACCUUGUUUUAAAUAAGCAUCAAUAAAAAGUUUUAAAAUAACGGUAAAACUGGGGAUCUCAUAGUUACCAUCAAGGAGGGAAUUAUGGAACUUUAGAUGAUUGCUUAGGGGCCUUUUGUUCUAAGAUCGCGGUGGGUCGGUUAGGGGCAUAAACCUUUAUUUUUGGGAGUUCAAGGCUUGUGGAGCCCAAGAGUUCUUCAGGAGAAGGACCCUUUUGCUAGCCGAAGAUGGAUCGUUGGUAUAGGGAAUGCUUAGCAAACAAGCUUCUGCCCCGAGGGGUUGAAGGUGGGAUAUGCAUCUUUCCUUCUGAGGGAUCGAACUCACGACUGGUGGGAGGAGAUUAGUUAUGCUAUGGCAUCUGAGGCCAUGAUGGCCAUGUCUUGGAGAUGAGGAAUACAAGAUACAAUGACAUGAACAUGGAUGAAAUUUAGGAGUUUUUGAGCAUGUCAAGCUGCAAGACCCUGGAGGACAUGAUUGCUAGAUCCCAGGAAUGGGAGAUUGACUUUGUGAGCAUGUCGAGCUACAAGACCAUGGACAAAGUGCAAGACGGAGAAGGUAUAUAUAGUAGUGGUCCAAGAGAAGAGUCUGAAGACUUUUAAUUCUUGUUCUAGGAGCCAGUAGGGUUGUAGCUGUUGAGAAAAGUGUGGCAAGACACAUGAUGGAGCCUGAACAGCAUUGGGUUCGAGGUGUUUUAGGUGUGUUUUGGCUAGACAUUUUGGUAGGGAUUUCCCUCAUAGAGCAUUGAUAUGUUUCCACUACAAUCGGACGGGCCACAAGAAGGUUGAUUGCUCAAGAUUGACAGUAGGGGUAGUGGUGAUGCCCGCCCUAGCCACCUUGAAGAUUACCUAUGGCCGGCAGGUCAAGGCGGAGGCUCCUCUCAUGAAGAGUAAGACAUUUCAGUUGACUGCCGAGGAGGCAUGAGCAACACCAGAUGUAGUUUCAUGUAUGCAUCUUUACCAUAUCUUUUACUGCUUUCCUCAUUUAUGCUUAUGUUUUAUCUGAUCAUGUAUAGGGAUGUUUUUAGUCAAUGGUAUGACUACUCAUGUUUUGUUCGAUUCUGGUGCUACCUGAUCUUUUGUAUCUCUUGCGUUUAGUAAGAGUUUAGUGAUGAUUGAGGGACUUUGGAUUAUCCAAUGGAUUUGGGGAUUGUCGAUGAUCGCUUAGCGAGUGCUUCUAGCUUUCAUCGGGGAUGUGCUUUGAAUAUGUUCAAUGAGAGAUAUUCGAUUGAUUUGGUUCCGAUUCUGAUGUGAGGGUUGAAGGUUAUUGUGGGCAUGGACUGGUUGGGCCCUAAUGGGGCUAUGAUUGAUUGUAAGCAUUAGUUGGUGUGAUUUCGAACCCUAUAUCAGGGAGAAUUGGUUAUUCAUCGUAAGGGUGCUCAGUAUGGACCGAUUGUCUAUUUAGCUAUGAGAUCUAAGAGGUAUAUAUCGCAUGGGUGUUCUGGGUUCCUAGCUUACGUAGUGGAUACACGAGUUGAGGGCAAUAAAAAUGUUGAUGACAUACCUAUUAUUCAGGAGUUUCCCGAUGUGUUUCCUAAGGAUUUGUCGGGAGUGCCUCCUGAGAUGCAAGUGGAGUUUCAGAGUGAUUUGAUUCUAGAUGCGGCACCGAUAGCCAUGGAAACCUAUCGUUUAGUACCUAUAGAGAUGUAGGAAUUGUCUACACACUUAUAGGAGUUGUUAGAUAAGGAAUUAAUUAGAUCGAGCACUUCACUAUGAGGAGCACCAAUCCUGUUUUUGAAAAAGAAGGAUGGAUGACAUAGGAUGUGCAUUGACUAGCAGGAAUUGAACAAGGGGACAGUUAAGAACCAUUAUUCACUUCCAAGGAUUGAUGAUUUAUUUGACCAGCUUCAAGAAACAUCUUGGUUCUCCAAGAUUGAUUUGAGAUCGGGUUAUCAUCAGAUAAGUGAUAGAGAUGAGGAUGUGGAGAAGACGGACUUUGGGACUCGUUAUUGUCAUUAGGUGUUUGUGGUGAUUCCAUUUGGUUCACAAACACACCGGUGGCGUUCAUGUAUCUCAUGAACCGGGUGUGUAAGCCAAUGUUGGAUCGGUCGGUGAUAAUGUUCAUUGACGAUAUCUUGGUCUAUUGUAAAACCAAGUAGCAGCAUGAGCAACAUCUCUGAGAGGUUUUAAAUGUUGGAUUAAUGUCUAAGUCCAUAACUAUAUUUGGUAUGUACUUGACCCGACCCGGCAUGGUCCAUUUGGGUUGCACUUUACCGGCACAAUUUAUAUGGAUAGUCUUUUGAGAAUAAUAUAUUUAUGAUUUAUAUUAAUAUAUUAUAAGUUCUAAUAUAUUAAUAUAUAAUCAUAUUAUUUAAUUAGUAUUGAUCAAGAAUUAAUCUAUAAUUAAUUAAGUGAUCAAAAGGAACUAAUUAAAUAUGGACUCUUAGAUAUAUAUAUGUGGUGGGCCAAGUUCAUUUAGGUUGGGCUAAGNNNNNNNNNNNNNNNNNNNNNNNNNNNNNNNNNNNNNNNNNNNNNNNNNNNNNNNNNNNNNNNNNNNNNNNNNNNNNNNNNNNNNNNNNNNNNNNNNNNNNNNNNNNNNNNNNNNNNNNNNNNNNNNNNNNNNNNNNNNNNNNNNNNNNNNNNNNNNNNNNNNNNNNNNNNNNNNNNNNNNNNNNNNNNNNNNNNNNNNNNNNNNNNNNNNNNNNNNNNNNNNNNNNNNNNNNNNNNNNNNNGUGGAUACACUAAAGAGGGCAAUAACCGAUUUCAUAAGUGUGAGCCAAGUAUCCAUAUUCUCUAAAGUCUUCCAAGGUGUUUUGGUGAUUUGUGAUUCCACUUGAGGCUUCCAAACUAUUGGGGCUAAGCUUUUAAAGUUUGAAGACAUCAAGCUACAUCAAAACGUAUGUCAUCUAUCUAGAACUUUGUAGCAUAGGUGCUUCAUAAUAUGCUAGUUACAAUGAAACCUUGGAAUAUUUAAUAUUUGCAUGUAUAAUAGAGAAAACAUAGAUCCAAGGUUUAUAGGGUUGCAUGUACACUAUAGGAGUGUUAUAAUGGUUAAAACCCAACAGUGGUAUCAGAGUCUGGUUGUUUUCUGUUAUAUUCAUGCAAAUGUUUGAUUUUCAAAGUUGGAAAAAAAAGAAAAAAAAAAACAUGAAGUUUGUCAAAUUUUAAGAUAAUUACUUGUAUUGUGAAAAACUAAUUAUUUGUAAAAUUUGAAUCAUUUGCUAUAUGAGUUGAAUUAGGUCAAAUUUAGUAAAAAGAUAAAAUGAUAUGAUUAUUUUAUUAGUUUUACAAAUUUGAUCUAAAUGUUUUAAGGAGUUACAAAUUUUGUCAUAAAAUUUUGAAGCUCAACAAUUUUUUUUUAAAGUUGUGAUCUUAAGUGUUUUGAAACCUCCAUAAGUUAUGGAUAUGAAAAGGUUUUAAAAAAAAUUGAUUCAAAGUUUUUAUGGAGUUACAAAAUUUGGUGUUAAUGUUUUAAAGAAUUCCAUAACUUAUUCUUAUGUUAUGGAACAUGAAAAUUUCAUCGUAAAACAAGCAUUUAACUCCAUAAGUUAUAGAUUACCAAAAGUUUUGUGUUUCCUUGAUUUAUGAGUUAGUUUAGAUUAAUGAAUUUUUUUUUUUUGUAUUUUAGUUGUUUUCAAUCCUAAUUAUUCUAGAGGUAGUUCAUAAAAUGUGUUUUUGUAACUUGCCCUCAAGUUACAUAAAAGGUUACAUUUAUGAAUAUUAAAACUCAUAAAAGUGUCAUAGGUUACAUAAAAAAAAUGAAGAGUCUUUUUCAUUAAAUAGUAUUAUGACUCCAUAACUUGUCCUCAAUUUAUGGAUGUUUAAGAGUCACUUCUUUAAAAGUGUUAUUAAAGAAUAAGAGGUUACAUAAAAAAUGAAGAGGCUUCAUUUUAAAGAACCAUUAAACUCAUAAGUUAUGAAAUGAAAAGUUUUGAAUAGUUUCAAAAACUUGCCCCCAAGUUUUGGAAUUUGUAAACUUUUCACUUAUGAAUACUUUAAUUCCAAGUUAAGCCCUUAGAAUUUUAAAAGUUAAAAUUCAACCCUUAUACUUUAUAAUAUUAUAAGUUAGUAAUAUAUAUAUAUAUAUAUAUAUAUAUAUAUAUAUAUAUAUAUAUAAGAGUAAAGUCGUCUUACCAUUAGUAGGCCUCAUUCACGAAGCCGGACUAUAAGGGGGGGUAUAAGGUUACUGCCUAUAAAAUGACAGUUUAAUGGGUGUCCACUCUCACCCACCACUUCCUUAACCGGUGGAGGGUCGUUAGCUGAACGGGUAGGACAAGGACUAUAAUUAUCCCUUCAUUAAAAGUAUUAAUGAUAAAUACUAAGUAACUAAACUCUUAUUAAUACCCAAUCUUAGUUACUUAGGAAAAUGUGAAUUUGGUGCUAACCCAUGAAAUUACACUUUGCACUUUGCUUAAGUCAGUUAGUGGAGCCUGUGUGGUUAACCGGCACACUAGCUUGAUUUAACAAGGUAGGCAAAGGGUAACUUAAUGUUUAUCGUAGUGUUAGGGUGCAAAGUCACUCUUGGAUGUAGUGUUUUAGGAUUUCCUCUUUGUAUGUGUAAAUGGGUUGAGUCUUUCCUAUAAAUAGGAUGUGAGUGACUCCCAUUAUGUAAGUGAAUCCAUUUGGAGUGUUAGACUAGAGAGAGAAAUUUGUACAAACCCAUUUUGUAUAUUCUUUCUAGAUCUAGUAAGAGCUUAUAAAGAUUUAUUUACUCCUUGUGUUCUUGAAUUUGUAUGAUGAAUCACUAGAUCUUUCCUAAUUCGGCACAUGCCAUCAUAAUCAACACCACUUCAAUUGGUAUCAGAGCGGGUGUUCUUGAUUUGAUCAAGAAUUGAUCCUUGAUGGCUUUCUUGAUUUGGUGAUUCAUUUUAUGAUCUUGGAUCUUCGUGUUUUGAGAGUGUUUUGUGUUCUAGAAAUCGAAUUUUUCCUUGAUUUGAUCCAUAAUUCGAUUUUCUCUCUCUAGAAUACUUGUUUGUUUCGCUUUCUCUCUCUAGAGAUCUCCUUGAUUUACACUUUCUCUCUCUAGAAAACCCAAGUUCAUAUCAUUUGUGUCACACCCCCGAACUAGACGGCGGAAACGUCCGGGGGCUGUCGUGAUUCAAUUGAAUACCAUCACAAUGAAUAUACAUGAACAUAACAUCAUACAAUACCAAGCAUUGGAAUAUUACAACUGGUAGCGUUUACAUUCAGUACAUUGUUUCAAAAUAUUACAUUCCCAAAAGUAAAUUGUUCGAUAUUAAUUAAACAACAACAAAACGUCAUAAAGUACAAUUCUUCCUUCACUUUAUCUGUUACCUGAGAAUACAAGUAUUUUGAAAAACGUCAACAUAUGAAAUGUUGGUGAGUUCAUAAGUAAUGUUUGAAAUCCAAUGUUUUGUAUCGUUUUGAAAACCACCAGAAAAUCCGAUAUUUUCUGAAAAUUGUAUAGUAUAAAAGGUGUGAAGAUCCGAAAGUAUGCUUGUUUGUUUCUAUAAAUGUAAGAGUACGAUUUGUAAAACUCGGUAUGUAAUUCGUAGGUGUAAUAAUUGAAAAUCCUAGGAAAACCCGACGUUUUCCCAUUACUUUGCAUUAAAUAAUUUUAUGUUUCGUUAUUUCGUUACGACAGGUGUAUUCGUUGAGCUCCGGGGACGUUGGAUUAAUUGUGGAUUGUGAAUUGCUGUAACCGUACAUUAAUGAAAAUGACCCGUUGACAACCGUACAAAAGAUUCCCUUAGGCGUCGCUCACACUAUUCACUUAACCCAACCACCCGCACUCAUGUAGCCCCACGACCGAUGGGAAAAGUGAGUGUGAAGCCCCAUGUAAUUCCCUACGUCGUUCAAGGCUGUAGUGAAUGCGAAGGGCCCUUAGCCCAACUCGCAUUGGUGAAUUCUCGACUUUGCUAGCAGUACCGAAGGACCCUUGGGGACCAGCAACACGUUGCNCUAGCAGUACCGAAGGACCCUUGGGGACCAGCAGCACGUUGCCAUUGAAAGUCCUUUUACGCUGUGUUGGAUCAUGUAAGACCCAACAACUCGUAAGGUUGAUGUCUUCGGGCCUAAAGAUCAGGUCAUUGGGCUAGCUAGGCCCAACAAACAAGAUUUUACACUUUUGGGCCCAAAGAUGGUGUAUCGAGUCUGUGCACUCUCACGUGUGUAUUAAAUUCCCAAAUUUUCUAUGUAUGAAUCGAGUUGUCGUCGUGUUAGUAGUUUCGGAUUUGUUAUUGAUUCGAGACCGAAUCAAUUCGUUUGAUAACGAUUUUUGGUGUUGUUGUGUGUUGUAAUUCGUCGGUAGUCGCAGUGUCAAUAUUUGAUCACAACGGAUGUAUUGAAUUAACAUUGAAAUUUUUCUGUUUACAGCCCCGCUUUAUUUUGUAAAUUUACUUUUUCAACCCUUUGAAUAAAUUAAUUUCCGGUUUAGUCCAUAAACCAUUUUUUCUUGGCAUUCUAACACCAAAACUUGUUGAAAUUGAUAUUUUUCAGCACAUUUUUAGUUGAAAACAGUUUUAGUCGCUCAAAAUACAUAUUUCUCGGCUGUAACCUCUCUUUUUCACAAAUUUUACACUUUUGGCCCAAAUUGGAAAAUUUUUGCAACUUUUGUCCUUUUUAAUUAUGAAAAGCAUUUUUAACCUUUGAAAAGGACUUGGAACACUAGUAGUCCACUGUUUUACGGAAAAACACAGUUUCAGCCCCUCAAAUUGGAAAAUUUCGCAUAUUGGGCCCUAUUGGGCCGAAAAGUUCAUUUUUAGCCCAUUAAGUUUAGAAAUUUACAUUUUAAACAUUCUAAAGUGUAUAUUUCUGGAAAAAUUACUUUAUGAAACUGUUUUGACACUUCUUAACCUCCAGAAUUUGUAUUUUUACAUUUUGGGCCCUUAAACUUCAUAUUCUUAGCAUUUUAAGUCCAAAAAUGUGAUUUUUAGCCCAAGAUGUUCAUCUAAACCAACUUGGUUAUUUUUCUAGUAAUGGCUUAUGUAUAAUGAUAUGUUUUAGCACUUGUUUCAUGCAUCAUAACACAAAUCUCGAUUUUUAGGUCCUUUUGACUAGUUUCAACACCAUAAACACACAAAAGUAUGUAAAUAAACAUAGAAAUCAUACAAGGCAUACACAUAAUGAUAGAUCUACACAUUUGCUUGUAUCCCCCCCACAAAACUUAUAAAAACCAAAAAUAAGGGGGUAUGAAGCUCACCUUAGGGUGUGGUUUUGGUUUUGGAGGAGAAAUGGAAGAAAGUUUGGUGAUUUUCGGCCCUAGCACACUUUGAUGAAGAUCUCGGCCUUGAGGUGAUUCUAGGAUGUAAGAUCAUGAUUUUUGCAUGGAUUAGGAAGAGGGUUUUGAUAAAACAAAGAAUCUAGAUCAUAGAUCCAAGCAUAAUCUUACCUUAGAUGAAGAAUUUGUGGAAAUAUCUUCUUGAAAAACCUUCUAAAUUUCGAGAUCUUGAUGAAGAGUGGAGGGAGUUUUUUUGAGAGAGUUGUGAGAGAAUUAUGUGUGUGUGUGUUUGAAAUCGGCCAAGAACGGGAGAGAGAGGAAGAGGUAGACCUUGAGGUGAUAUAUGCAUGGGAAUAUGAGAUAUGUUGCAUGGAUAACCAAGAGGUAAUAGUGAGGUGUCACUUGAAAGUCAACCCUCUUCCAUGUUGGGUUGUUUGGGCCGAGAAGUGAAGAAGGAAAGGGAGAAUAUUGGGUUUCUUUUGUUUAAGCCCAUAUUAUGACUUAAUUAUGUAAUUUUUCGGCCCAAUUACAUCAAGGUAUGAUUAUUAUGAUCCAUUAGGGCUAUAUGAAUUUGCUAUGACCCAAUAAGGUCCAUUAGGGUGUUAUAUUUCAUUUUAGGCCUAUUAUGGCCCAAAAUAUUGGAUUAAAUGGAAUUGGGUCCAAUUAGAGCCCAUUUGAAGGUUCUAAUCCAAUGAUAGUCAAAUUGGAAGCUUAUUGGUCCAAUGAGUCCGAUAAGGAAGUCCUAGUCCAAAAUGAACCUAACAAGAACUUCUAGGGUUUCCAAUUGCUUAUUGACUAUUAGUAGUAUUUGUAUGGUGUAUUGGAUUGAAAUUUUGUUGUCAUAGAGUAGGUAUCAUACAUGCUCUUUGGGUUUUUGAUUCUACACUUUUACCUGAAUGUAGUGAUUACAAGACACAAAAUUUCUAGUUGUGACAAUUUCAUUCGAAAGAGAAGAAGCAAUUAUGGAGAAAUAGAUGAUACAUAGUGAAGAUGUUCAAAGUGAAUGCUCAUUUGAAUAUAUUCUUUAUAGCUUAACUGUUGGAUUGAAAAAUGAAUAUGAUAUUGUUGUAAAUGGAGAAAAGAAUGAAGUUGGAGAAUUAAUUAGUUGUCCAAUUAUUCGAACCAAACAUUUGUUUGAUCGUUUGGUUACAACAUAUCAAAAGAGACGAAGAAAUAGGAGAGAUGGAGAUGUCAUAAAAGGAAUUUCUCGUGCUGAAUGCAAAUAUGGAAGCAAUAAACUUGAAUAUUAUGCAGAUUGUCGUGAUGCUCGGGAUGGUGUUCUUGAUGAUGAUGAUGUUCAAGAAAAAGGAGUUCAAGUUGAUUUUCAAGAUGAUUUUUUUUUGCUCAAUUGGAGUUCAAACCGAUGAUAUUUUGUGUUCUUGUGAUUCGUUUGAAGGAAUGAUUCCUUAUCGGUAGCCGGUGAUCCAUGAAAAUCUCAAGUAUCAAACUCCAAAAGAUUUGAUUCAAACUCACAAUUUUCAUGUUGUUGAAAGUGGGUUUGUUCAUGGAGUCAAGUCUUCAAGAUGUAAAAAGAUGAGAAAGAAAAAGAAGAAGAAGAUCAAUCGCAAAAACAAGCGGGUUUACUCACAAAAAUUGUUAAAUGUUGUGAAGCCGAAAUCCGUGAAGCAAAUUUGGGUUCCAAAGCAACAAUCUCCAAAUGUUGCAUUGAAUUUGACGUCAAAACCCAAAAGUGUUGGUGGUUCUUUUGAAGAUGUUCUUGGAUCGUUGAAGAACACGAAGAACAAGUUGUACAUCUCGCAUGGUGGGUGGUACAAUGUUCGAUUUGGAGAUUUUCUCAUUCCGACAAAAGAACCAAGAUCUUGCAAAUUUGAUUCGUUCGUUGAAAACGGAACUCGAUUCGUCAAAAAGGUAUCUCAAAUUCUUAAAUGGAUUCCAAAACGUCCAUGAUUUCGAUUCGUAUUUUACGUUUUUCAUUUUUGAUCGAUUUGCCUCAUUGGAUCAAAUCUGUUUCAACCCCAUUGUUGAUCCAAUUAUUUUUUUUAGAUCAAUUCAAAAAUCAAAAUCAAUUUCUCAUUGUGAUCAAUUGUUAUGAUCAAUUAAAAUCUCGAUUACUGUUCAUUCUCGAUUUGAGCCCAUAAAGUUUUCAAAAAUUGUUCAUCUAAAGCCCAAUUCGUGAAAAGAUUGCUCCGAUUUUUCUUUUGCUCAAACUUCUCGAUUAUUCUUAAUCAGUUUGUUCUAUAUUCUCAUUCGAUUCAAGAUGAAUACUCACAAAAUCGAAAUGCAAAAUUGAUUCAUAUUCUUGUUCUUCACUCGUUUCCAGUUAUUGUAUUCUCGAUUGAUCUUUGAUAGCGAAUGAGAUUCAUCAUUUUUNUUUGAUAGCGAAUGAGAUUUCAUCAUUUUUUUUUCGAUGAGUUUACCUUUUACUUUUGAAUCGACUUUAAUUGAUUUCAUCAUCAUCGGUCGAUUAUGAUCAAGUUGUAGGUUAGAAAAGUAUCGAUUUGUAUAUAUCGAGGGAUAAAUUCAUCAAGUCAAAUCCAAAAAGUCAAGAUACUUAUUCUUUGAUGAUUAAUUGAUCGAUAUCUGUAUUUUGACUGAAGGGUCACGAUUUGAGAUUUUAAAUGUGUAGCCGAAUCGUGAUUUGAGUUGUUUUUGUUGAUCAAGUGUCGAUUGCCCUUACCUAGAUUCGAAUGCAUUGAAAUUGAAAUAUGCACUAGAAAUCUAACAAGUAUCGAUGAUGAUUUGAGCGUGUUUAGUUUGAAUCGAUUUUCAAUUUGAGUAGAUACGAGGUGGAAAUCGAGUUCAAAGGAACGAAGGAAUCGAUUUUCGAAUGUGUGAAGACGAUUUUGAUUUUAAUCAAUGCUAGUCUUAUUUCGCAUAUUUUGGAGUCGAUAGGUUGGGGAUGAAUAACGAAGACUUGAAAUCUAGAUUUCGCAUGAUUAGAGUCGAUGAUCUGUAAAAGAAAAUUUUGAUUCGGGUUGAACUGUGGAAAGCGAAUCAGGGUAUUUGCUUUUGGGGUUAACUGUGAAGAAAAAGCGAAGUUUGAAAUGAAUUUGGAUAUCGUUUGAGUUUAGUUUGUUAUUGCUGAGAAUGUUUGUUCGCAUCUUGCUGUAGUGGAUUCGCAUAUGAAAUCAAUUGAGUUCACAUCUGGGUCUUCAUUGAGUUUGCAUAUGAGGUUAUAUUGAUUAGGUUUCGCAUCUAAGAUUGAUGAUUGAGUUCGCAUAUGCGAAAGUUCUUCAUUUGCAUCUGUUGAAGUCGAUGUGCGAAAGAUUAUUAUGCGAAGCGUUUGUAAGGAACGUGCGAAGAAUUGACGAUGUGAAAUACGCGAAGUAUUUCACUGGUUAGUGAAUUGAAGAAGAAAACAGAAGUUUUAAAAAGAGUCUCUGCAGUUUCGUAAUAUUGGCAGUUUAUACCCAACUUCGCAUAUGGGUAAUAUAAGCUGAGAAAUUGCAGAAUUUUUAGUUCUGGUCCCUACGGUUUGUGCGAAUUUAUGCUUGAUGCCCGGUUUCGCAAAUGGGCUAGAGUUUCGCAUAUUUGACUGUUUUUGGCGCAGCGGGUCUCUGCAAGUUUCAGAAAGUGACAACUUCUACCCGGUUUUUGAAAAAUCUUACAACUUUCACCCAAAAAUUCAAAAUUUUUCAUAAAUUGGAAUUUUUUUGUGGCUUUUUCGUGAUUGUUUUUCCGUGCAAGAUUUUUGGUGAUUCAUUUUUGGUACACAUCAAGGGGGAGUAUUGUGAAGACUAUUCCUCGGGCGCUUCUCUUCCUUAGUGGGUUUUAUAAUAAUUUUUUGAUUAUAAAAAGGGGGAGAAUAAUGGGUAUGCGAAGCUUCUCGGGGUUGUCGAAUAUUCAUUUGCGGAUUUGAAGACUGGUGUUACUUUGAGGGGGAGUUUGGUCUUGAUCGCGCUAGCUCGUUGGAGAUUGAAGCCGGACAUCCAAUCCUAACUUUGAGGGGCAGAAUGUUACGGUGCAAAGUCACUCUUGGAUGUAGUGUUUUAGGCAUUCCUCUUUGUAUGUGUAAAUGGGUUGAGUCUUUCCUAUAAAUAGGAAGUGAGUGACUCCCAUUAUGUUAGUGAAUCCAUUUGGAGUGUUAGACUAGAGAAAGAAAUUUGUACAAACCCAUUUUGUAUAUUCUUUCUAGAUCUAAUAAGAGCUUACAAAGAUUUAUUUACUCAUUGUGUUCUUAAAUUUGUAUGAUGAAUCACUAGAUCUUUCCUAAUUCUGCACAUGCCAUCAUAAUCAACACCACUACACAUAGUAUCGGUGGAGCGUGUGUGGUUAACCAGCACAUCAAUUGAGGGGUAAAUAUUUAGGGUACCAAGUAUAUUUGUAUGGUUAUUCACACCUUAUUUUGUGAUCCUCGGCAUCCCAGUCACAAAACCUGAAGGGCACACUCGAGAUUGAAACAUGCCUUUGAAAAGUUCAAUGAAUCUCAAAAGAAUCUAGGAGUUUCAAAACCAAUUAAAACCUAAUAAUACGUUUCCUUUAUCUUGGUGGAAAUUGGUGAAUCGUCAUUCACCUACCUUCAAAUAUUUUAUAGCUUGGAUUAUGGCAUCCCUCUUCCAAGUUAUAAAAUAGUUUGCUGGGUCCUAGCGUUAAUAUUUCAAAUUGGGUGUUAUAUUAAGGACUUUAGAUCAACUGUCUUGAAUAUCUCCCAAAAAGAUGUCUGGUUCAGACAUCUAUGAUCCUCCCAAAUAUCUUGGCACUUCACUUCCUCCACCUCCUCUAAUUAUUCUCCCUAACCCACAAGUUCAAGGUCACUCAAGCCCUAUUGGCAAGCAAGGUCUAUGUGUGAUCGCAUCUUGGAGACGAAGUCAUAUAUUUACAAGCCGGGAGAGUUGGGUGUCAAAAUCUUGAGAAAGUUGGUGGCUCAAUCACUCUCUAAGUCACAUAGUGAAUUCCUUCGGGAAUACUAUGAAACAGACUAUGACAUGACCCUUAAUGAUCUUAUCUAUUUGCUUGGUGCUGCAGAAUCAUCAAUAAUUUGGAGCACUUGGAAAGAAAAUUUGAUUAGUAGAUUAACUUCCCAAACUACCAUGGACAUUGACAAUGGUAACAUUGGAUAUCUAGAAAAGCCUUCUCUUCCCAGGGAAAGGGAUUGACUAUAGUCAACUAGGUUGACCAAAUGGUAAAGAGAAAGGCUAAGUCUAUGAUAGUCCCAUGUACCAUUCCCAAAGAGUCCCUAUGUUUCUCUUGCCAAAGGAAGGGGCAUUGAUUGCGAAGCAGCCUAUUUACCUGAAAGAUCAUAAGGUUGAUCAAGUCAAGAAGACUGACUCUACUUUAGGCAAAGUCCACUAUCUAACUCUGUUAAGUUUCUAUUCUGAGAUUCUUGUUACAUGAUGUGUCUGGGUCACAUGUUGAUGUUUUAAGAAUCAAAGAAAAGUGAAGAAAAUUAAAGGAUGUAUAUGAUGAUUUUGGUCGCACAGAUGGAUCUCGAUCGCAUGGUUCUGUGAUCAGAAUUUUGAGCUGUUGCUUAGGAAUUAGGAUAUAUUGCUUAGGAAUAGAUAACAAAAAAGUUUUUCAUGUGCUUUUGCACUGUAAGGAUAGUUUAUCCGCAAAGUUUUUAAAAUAAACGGAAAAAAAUUGAUUAUAUUUAUUUUAAAAUAUCCUUACAAUGGCAUUUGUGAAAAGGAAAAAAAUUGUUGCUUAUAUGAUUCCAUUAAUAGCAAGAGUGGAAAUAUGAAUUUGAUUCUUUCAUUUGUGGUAGUGUCUAAAUUUUCCAAAUAAGGAAAGAUUCUCGUCACCCGAGUUUCAGUUGGAUAGAAACUUUGAAAUCAUGCAAGUUGUAUAGUAUGAUGAAUGAGAACUUUCAAGCAUUGGAAAAUUGAGACUAAUUACUUGUUCACAUGGAUGUGUGAGUCAGGUAAAGGACUAAGGGAUCGAGUACACAUUCUUGUGCACUGAUCAAGCCCAUCACAAAUGUAACUUGAGUGACACAUCUUAAAGAAGGUUUAUUAACACUAGUGCAAUGUAAGAGUAAAAGGUUUUCUACUCUUAUACAUUUGAAUUUGGUAAGUUGUGAUGUUUUGGAUAAAACAAAGACCAACUUAGGCUAAUUGUGUUAAGUGUUUGUCUUGAUUAGAAUCCACACUAUCUCUUGAAUAUUUGGCAAGAAAGUCUUAUAGGUCAAGGAGACAGUGGGAGUCUAAAAGAUCCUGAAAGGGUUUCAAGAAGUAAUCAAGAAUAAAACCUGUAUUUCAUCACUAGCACACAACUAGAAGUUUAUAACCUAUCGCGUUGACAUUUCUGUGCCCAUUCCAGUUAAUUUGACUAUACAUUUCAGUUCUACAUGUUCUCAAUUGUUUGUAUAGCUACUUGGAAGCAAUGGCAGGCCUUUGAGCUGCCAGGUGGCAAGAUUGCACAAGUUCAAUCCAUAUGAGUUAGGAUUUGUCACUAACCUAGUCUUGUUAUUAUGGUUUGACAAAUUCACAUGGAUAAGAACACAUACACCAUAAAAUCUAAGUGUCAUAAGGUUUCUCUCAGAUUCAUGAAAAUGAUGGUGAGGAAAUUCUUUCACUAAGUAGAUUUUAACUAGAUAGCAAUUUUCAUAUUUGUAGUUCUCAAAGUCGUUAGUGGAGCGUGCGUGGUUAACCGGCACACUAACAUUGACUUAUAAGAAAUGGCAAAAGGUCUAAACAAUUGAGACUAUGAUUAUGGCAUCCCUUUUCAUAGUUCAGAAAUUGUUUAGACACACCUGUGAUCUAUCUAAGAUAAGGUGUCUGAUUUUGAUAAAUUCUUAUCAAAGCAAUCUAGUAUCAGAAAUCUGAACAUUGGGAAGAAUGUCAAUAAAGUAUUAACUUCUAGAGGUCCAGCUGUUUUCUAGAUACAUGUCAAAGCUAGUGGGAGCAUAAGUGUUAUGCUAAUAAUCAUCAUGUUAAUGGGAGCAUGAUAAUUAUGAGAAGUAUUGCAAGUUAGAAAUGUUAAUUAUAGAAAACAAAAGUUUCAAUUCGUGAGGUUGCAGGGGUUGAAAAAGUUGUUUUUCUAUGAUUAAGGGAAAGGAAAUUAUACUUCAUUUCAAUUCUAAAAAGCAUAUAUUAUGAUUUUAAUCACCUUUAGUCAAGAAUAUAUAUAUANNNNNNNNNNNNNNNNNUAUAUAUAUAUAUGAAUUUCAGGUUGGAUUGGUUCAACUUCAGAAAAUUCUAUAUAUUGCAUUCUCAAAAUUCGAUUAUGAUUACGACAUCCCUUUUCAUAGUCAAAUUUUGAGAAUAUGGCAAACAAAAAAUUUGUAGCACCCGGUCCUUGGUAUGUAUUCUGUUAUUAAAUCUUCAUGUAUUUUUGACACUUUUGGCCUUGGACUCGACGAGUCGAAGGACUGAAUCGCCGAGUAGAAGCGGGAUGAGGGGCGGUGUUUAGGUUGCGGACUUGGCGAGUCGAGUCCCGGACUCGGCGAGUAGCCGCUGUUUGGGCAAAAACCCUAAUCAAGGGGUUUGCACCUUAUUUAAACGACCUUAUGCAUCCUCCUUUCCCCUUUUAUGCUCCCAAACACUCCUCAUAUCAAACCGUAGCCGUUUUUGUGAAGAUCUAAGGCUUUUUGAGUGAUUCUUGUGAGUUUUGGCCUCAAGGAAGAAGGAAGAGCAUAGAAGGAUCAAGAGGGGACUGAAUGAUUCGAGUUUGGUUUAUCAUUUGCAGCCUUUGCAAGGUAUAAAGUCUGAACCUUACUCAUUCUUUUGUUAGAAACCUCUUUGGAGUGAUUUAGGGCUUUCAUAUGCCAUUUUUGGUGGCCAACCAUGUUUGGAAACAUGGUUGGGGGUUUGGGUUUCUGUAUCAUGUCAUUUUAUGAGCCACAAGUCAGAUCUAGGUUGCUUUUUGCACCAAGGAAGGCCCCAUGCAACAAAAGAACCAUUCUAGAGCCUUUUAAGCUCUAAUGUCCCAUGCAUGCACGUAAAGUUUGUAACUUUACAUGCUAGAUCGAGUUUAUGGGCCUGGAUCUAUCAUUUGGUUAAGUGUUGUACAUCAGAAAUCAAAGUUCUUAGUAAGGAAUGUGAUAGACUCAGCGAGUCCAUUCCUGGUCUCGGCGAGUCCAAGGGUUUUGGUCCCAUAUCAGUGAGGGUCGUCAGGACCAGUUGAGUGUGGAAGGGUUUUUAGGAGACCCGGGGAGUGACCCAACGUUCUGGACUAAGCAAAGUGUUCUGGGAAUUCAUGUUACUCGGCGAGUCCAAGAUAAUCUUCAUGGAACUCGACAAGUUAUUCAUCAACUCGGCGAGUCGAGGACAGAACGUGUUCAUAGGAUGAAGAGUAACUCGACGAGUUGUUCAUACAACUCGGCGAGUCAGUUCAGGACAUGAGUAUCAGUUGAUGAUGAACUCGACGAGUUGUUCAUACAACUCGGCGAGUCAGAUGUGGAUUUAGUCGGUGCUCAUUUAGAAGGAAAACUCGUCGAGUCAUCACCUAACUCGACGAGUAGAGACGGGUAUGAGGUCUGAUGGAAGGAUAGGGACUCGGCGAGUCAGGACAACUGGAAGUUGACUUUGACAUGGUUAAGGGGUAAAAAGGGUCAUUUUACCCUAAGGGUAGACGUCAGUUUCUGACUAAGUGUUUUGUGGGAAUUUUAGCUAGAGGACUUCCGGAGCAGCCGCUGCAACAGUCAGAGGAUUCUCGCACAGUUCAGCAGAUACGAGGUGAGUUGCCUUCCAGUAGGGGUGGGUCUAAGGCCAUAAUGCCAGCCCACCAUUAAGGAGUAUUUAGAAGAUAAUUGUCUUUGUGAUAAUUUAUCUAGGUUUGCAAUGCAUUUGGUUAUGUGUUAUAUCUGUAUGAUAUGUUGUAUGAUAGGGAUAGUUUCCCUGAUAGUGGUCCGUAGGACCAAGGGGUAGGUUAGUACCCGGAUAUGUCUGAAUGUGUGCUUAUAUCUGCUACCGUAUGCUAGUGGUAGGGGGUGGAAUAGUCCCCAGUUACCGGUUGAAAGAUACCGAUGUCGAUUACCGGUUGAAAGAUACCGAAGACGAUUAUCGGUUGAAAGAUACCGAUGAGGAUUAUCGGUUGAAAGAUACCGAUGGUAUUUUAUGGUAUGUGGCAUGAUGGGGGAACUCACUAAGCUUUGUGCUUAUGGUUUCAGUUUUUGGUUUCAGGUACCUCUUCAUCCAAGGGGAAGGAGCCGGCGGCGGAGCAUGGCAUCACACACACUCGCAUUUGAUUUUCGCACGGUGUUUUCUGGGAUUGUACUCUGAUAUGACAUUUGUUCGUGGUUGUGGGUUUCAAAUAUGAUACUUGGUUUGAGAUGAUACGUUUAUACAAUAUUUUCCAAUGAAUGUUUUAUGCCUGAUUUGGUUACUCAAUGCAUGAAUGCUGCUUGCUUUGUGCUAUAGGGUUCUGGCUAUUUCCAACUAAGGAGCGGAUAUAUAACAAUACCUGCAAGCUAGUUAGGGGGAAAUGGUAGGGACUCUUGCACAGCUGAUGGUAGAGAGUAGGUCGGAGAGUGCCCUAGGGAAGCCUAGGAUGAGGUUACUGGAAAGGGGUAUCGAUAAAGGGACCUGGUGAAGUCGAAGCAAUCCUUGAGGAAAGCACGUGUAGAUGUGGAAGGUAGUAUGCGCCCGUACUACUGAAAGCAGAGGACCCGUACUUGAAUCAAGGAGGGCCUAGAUGAAAUCGGUAACCUUGGGCAGCGUGUUAGAACUCUCGAGUAUAUGUAUGAUCCUGACGUUUAUGCAUGUGUUUUCAGUAUGGUGACCACACGACUUGGAGCAGGAGGUUCCGGAUUAGGAUCAUCAUCGGGCUCGGGUUCGGGAUCUGAGCAGGUUGAUGACGGGCUACGCGAGUUCAUCGCGUUUGAGAUCACAAGGGGCAUCCUUGAGUCGACCCCUAUCUUUUUUGGGUCGAUCAAGGAGGGGAUUGUUGAGCUGAUGGAGGAUCGUCUCCGAUCAUUCAAGAGUGAUAUGGCGUCUAGCCAGAUGGGUACGCGCACACUUUCCUUUAAGGACUUUCGUGGGAGUGGUGCACCGGAUUUCCAUGGGGUGAAAGACCUCAUUGCUGUUAGCAGAUGGAUUGCAGACAUUGAGUCUGCACAGUUGACGAGCUUCUGCCCAGAGGGGUCGAAGGUGAGGUAUGCAGCAGGAUGCUUGCGAGUCAGGUCAACUGGAGUUGACUUUGACGUUGACUUUGACUUGGUCAAGGGGUAAAAAGGGUCAUUUUACCCUAAGGGUAGAUGUCAGUUUCUGACUAAGUGUUUUGUGGGAAUUUUAGCUGGAGGACUUCCGGAGCAGCCGCGGCAGCAGUCAGAGGAUUCCUGCACAGUUCAGCAGAUACGAGGUGAGUUGCCUUCCAGUAGGUGUGGGUCUAAGGCCACAAUGCCGACCAACCAUUGAGGAGUAUUUAGAAGAUAAUUGUCUUUGUGAUAAUUUAUCUUGGUUUGGUAUGCGUUUGGUUAUGUGUUAUAUCUUUAUGAUAUGUUGUGUGAUAGGGAUUGUUUCCCUGAUAGUGGUCCGUAGGACCAAGGGGUAGGUCAGUACCCAGAUAUGUCUGAAUGUGUGCUUAUAUCUGCUAUCGUAUGCUAGUCGUAGGGGUGGAAUAGUCCACAGUUACCGGUUGAAAGAUACCAAUGUCGAUUAACGGUUGAAAGAUACCGAUGACGAUUACUGGUUGAAAGAUACCGAUGAUGAUUACCGGUUGAAAGAUACCGAUGGUAUUGUAUGGUAUGUGGUAAGAUGGGGGAACUCACUAAGCUUUGUGCAUACGGUUUCAGGUACCUCUUCGUCUAUGGGGAAGGAGUCGGUGGCGUAGCAUCGCAUCACACACACUCGCAUAUGAUUUCCGCACGGUGUUUUUUGGGAUUGUACUCUGAUAUGACAUUUGUCCGUGGUUGUGGGUUUCAAAUAUGAUACUUGGUUUGAAAUGAUGUGUUUAUACAGUAUUUUCCAAUGAAUGUUUUAUGAAUUAAUUAAUCAAAAAAUGAAAUUUUUGGGCUUGAAUCUUGGGAUGUUACAAAAUUAUUAUGGCAAAAGACUGGUCUAGAACCAUGUCUUUAUGUGAAACAUCAUGAAACGUGUCCCAUUUACUUUGGGUACAAGAUCGAUUACAUGUGCUAUAAUAUUUAUCCUUUCUGAAUUUUCCAAAUGCCUUGGGGCAUUAAGGGGAACAAUGCUUAGAAUUGGAUAUGACUAAAGUGAUUAAGAAAUUCUCGUGGACAAUCUAAGGUUUACCAAAGAUUGGUUGCUCAAGGAUAUUGGGAAGUAUACUGCUAAUAUUGGAAGGACCAUAUUAACAUAGUCUGAUAAGAGGAAACUCUUGUUCAGAAGUUGUAGUCAAAAUGGGAAUAUAGAGUUAUCUUCAUAGGUGGAAGCAAUCUGUGUAAGGUUAAAGAAACUUAACGCAAGAAGCAUGUUCAAAGCAAUGCGCUUUGAACUUGAGACAUCGGUUCCAUGGAAUUGCUCUCCAUUGGAAUACUCUGUAAUGAUUGUUGCCAAGUCUUUGUGGCUUUGUGCACAAUCAUUAUAAGAGGAACAGUGCAUAUAAGUUUAAAAUCUAAACAAAUUUCAAUAAAUGAUAGGAAUUUGGAAUUCUUACAUUUAAGACAAGGAUUUGGGAGUGUGAAAAGAGAAUCAUUGAAAUUAUGUUCAAUUCAUCUAGUUCACAAAGAAAAGGAUCAUAGACAAACAUAGAGUGCAUACUUGGUGUAUGGAAAAGCUAUUGUUUAGAAAAACAUAGUGUACAUGCUUGGAGCAUGGGACAACUAGUGUUUUUAAUUCAGGUAUAAAGUUGAUAAAACCAAAACAAUGAAUAAUGAGUAAUCAGUAUAGUGAUAAAUAGAAUGUCUUUUGUUUAUAUUCAUAGGUUUUGAUACCAUAUUAGAUUCAUUUAUUCUUGUGUUUCACUUUGCAUGUUUUGACUUCCAUAAUAACUAGGUUAUUCUUUCGGAAUGACUAAGUUAUUCAAAACAUCCACAAUCGGUCAUAUGUUGGAAGUAGAUAUGAAUCAAGACUGUCAUGGGUUGGCUUGUAGAGGUCCAAGUUGGUGGACAAAGUUAUGCUACAACACUCAUGAGCGCUCAUAAGUUCUGAGUAUUGGAUUCAACCCGCGCUCAUUUGAAUCACUUCAUGGAUUUUAUCUCGAGUGAUCAUGAGACGAUAAUAUCUUAUAUUCUUCAAACCUAGAGAUAUGAGUUUUUACUAUGAGUUGGUUGUACAUUGAUUGCACGAAACCGCAUUGGUAACUCGAUGUUAUAAAAUGUGCCUUUGUGUACGAUUCAACAAGUAGUAAAACAAGCCAUAUGAGUCGAAGUUUAUCCAUUCCUUUUACCUUUGGGAUAAAAGCGAUAUCUGUGGGCCCCUUGAUGAUUUAGUGAUGUC
RNAcentral lists this long non-coding RNA (35401 nucleotides) under Lactuca sativa (garden lettuce). Its description in RNAcentral is "long non-coding RNA (LSAT_LNC007456)". The record is from RNAcentral. Lineage: Eukaryota; Viridiplantae; Streptophyta; Magnoliopsida; Asterales; Asteraceae.